UAGGGAAUAUUGGUCAAUGGACGCAAGUCUGAACCAGCCAUGCCGCGUGCAGGAUGACGGCCCUCUGGGUUGUAAACUGCUUUUAUAUGGGAAGAAACCCCGGGAUGCGUUCCGGGCUGACGGUACCAUAUGAAUAAGGAUCGGCUAACUUCGUGCCAGCAGCCGCGGUAAGACGAAGGAUCCAAGCGUUGUCCGGAUUUACUGGGUUUAAAGGGUGCGUAGGCGGAAAAUUAAGUCAGUGGUGAAAGCCCGCAGCUCAACUGCGGAACUGCCAAUGAAACUGAUUUUCUUGAAUACGGUUGAGGUAGAUGGAAUAUAACAUGUAGCGGUGAAAUGCUUAGAUAUGUUAUAGAACACCAAUUGCGAAGGCAGUCUACUAAGCCGUCAUUGACGCUGAGGCACGAAAGCGUGGGGAGCGAACAGG
Molecule: ribosomal RNA, 424 nt
Filed under: uncultured bacterium
Lineage: Bacteria
Description: bacterial SSU rRNA
Rfam family: Bacterial small subunit ribosomal RNA
Source: RNAcentral